This 354-nucleotide ribosomal RNA is filed under the name Anophryoides haemophila. RNAcentral describes it as "partial Bacterial small subunit ribosomal RNA". It matches the Rfam family "Bacterial small subunit ribosomal RNA", at positions 1 to 360 of the family's 1533-position model. Lineage: Eukaryota; Ciliophora; Oligohymenophorea; Philasterida; Glauconematidae. The record is from RNAcentral.
GUGGAGAGUUUGAUCCUGGCUCAGGACGAACGCUGGCGGCGUGCUUAACACAUGCAAGUCGAACGAUGAAGCCUAGCUUGCUAGGUGGAUUAGUGGCGAACGGGUGAGUAAUACGUGAGUAACCUACCUUUAACUCUGGGAUAAGCCUGGGAAACUGGGUCUAAUACCGGAUAGGAGCCAUUUUUAGUGUGAUGGUUGGAAAGUUUUUUCGGUGUAGGAUGAGCUCGCGGCCUAUCAGCUUGUUGGUGGGGUAAUGGCCUACCAAGGCGGCGACGGGUAGCCGGCCUGAGAGGGUGGACGGCCACAUUGGGACUGAGAUACGGCCCAGACUCCUACGGGAGGCAGCAGUGGGGA